UAGAAACCAUGGAACAGAAUCUAAAAAUACAAGAAUUCCAUGAGAAAUUCUAAGUUCUGGCAUCUAGACGAAGAAGAAAGAAUGGACACUGGCAAUAUUUGUGGAGACUCGGGCUUACAAUUCCCCCAAACUGAUGAAAACACCAAUCUUCAGAUGUAAGAAUUCCAAUAAAUACCACUCAGGAUAAAUAAAAGGAAAUCCAUACCUAAACACAUCAUAGUUAAACUGAAUAAAAUAAAAAAAAUUUUUUUAAGCAGAUAGAGCAACUUGCCUUCAAGGGAGUAAUAGACUGACAGGUGACUUCUUAACAGUAGCAGCAGAAGUCAGAAAUAAACUGCUAAUCUAGAAUUUGUAACCAUAAAAAAAUAAAGACAUUUCAGAUGAAUAAACAAUUGAAAAAAAUUACCUUUAGGAGACCCACAGGAAUUUGCAAAGGAUUUUUCCAGAAAAAGGGGAAAUAAUCACUGGAGAAGAUCAAGGGGAUCUUCAAAAAGAAUAAAGAGAGAAGAAAGUCGCAAACAUAAAGAGAGUAUUCAUCAAGAAAAGGUCAUAUGAAGACACAAAAAGGAGGCAGCUGCCUAAAAGCCAGGAAGAGCCCUCAACAGGAAGAAGUGAAUUGUCCAGCUCCUUGAUCUUGGACUUCUCAGCCUCCAAAACUGAGGUGGAAACAAAGCAUGCUGGAGAAUCUGUUGGUGUCUACCCUGGGAGACAGGUAGGGAAGGUAAAGAGGCUUGGCAAUAAAUUGUACUUCCAGGAGGCUAAAGAAGUGUUGGGGGUCUGAGUUUGGCUUUUUAUUUUUCUUUCUCUAUCUGGCUAAUUUCACUUAAUAUAGUGUUCUUGAGGUCUAUCCAUAUUAUCAC
Felis catus (domestic cat) is the source of this 860-nucleotide long non-coding RNA. RefSeq lists it as uncharacterized. NCBI's taxonomy places the organism in Eukaryota, Metazoa, Chordata, Mammalia, Carnivora, Felidae. The transcript is spliced from 3 exons. The record is from RefSeq and is a predicted model, not a curated record.